RNAcentral lists this ribosomal RNA (301 nucleotides) under uncultured bacterium. RNAcentral describes it as "partial 16S ribosomal RNA". It matches the Rfam family "Bacterial small subunit ribosomal RNA", at positions 509 to 807 of the family's 1533-position model. The record is from RNAcentral.
CAGCAGCCGCGGUAAUACGAAGGGGGCUAGCGUUGUUCGGAAUUACUGGGCGUAAAGGGCGCGUAGGCGGCCAUUCAAGUUAGAUGUGAAAGCCCUGGGCUCAACCUAGGAAUUGCAUUUGAUACUGUUUGGCCUGAGUUCGGGAGAGGUGAGUGGAAUUCCCAGUGUAGAGGUGAAAUUCGUAGAUAUUGGGAAGAACACCAGUGGCGAAGGCGGCUCACUGGACCGACACUGACGCUGAGGCGCGAAAGCGUGGGGAGCAAACAGGAUUAGAUACCCGCGUAGUCCCUGUCUCUUAUAC